Odocoileus virginianus texanus is the source of this 1134-nucleotide non-coding RNA. NCBI's taxonomy places the organism in Eukaryota, Metazoa, Chordata, Mammalia, Artiodactyla, Cervidae. The record is from RefSeq and is a predicted model, not a curated record.
CCGUGCCCUACGUCAGUGUAUCUGACAGCCCAAGUGGGUGGGUCUCCAUCUGCUGGCAGUACCCCACAACUCCCAGCAGCUGAGGAUGAUAUUGUGAGGCUGAGUUUCUUUCACAUCUUGCAGCCAAAACCAUUUACUGCAACAGAUUGAAUACAAAAGCAGAGUGUCUCUGAGAGCCUUCCACAGAAAUAUGUGGACCAUUUAUCUGGAGCUGCUGGUCAAAGAGGAAAAGAGACAUUAAAUGGACACGUAGACGAUUGACCUUAAACAAGAAGAAGAGAAUAGAAGAAAUGCUGAUAUGUUAUAUGAAAAAAUUAAGGGUUGGAUAAGAAGAAAGGCAGACCAAUAUGGUAAAGAAGUUGAAAUGAAACAGCAACUUGAACUCACUCUCAGAGCACUAGGUGGAACUGAAGACUGGGAAAUGAUCUGAAUCAGGUUAUGGAGACACUCAGAAGCAGCUUUCUGGAGAACAGAAUGCCAGAAUCUUACAGGGUGGAAUCCUGGCCAAUCACUUUGCCAAACAAAAGCAGAAAGAAAUGGCUAAUAAGGAAAUGAAGUCUGAAGUAGUUUCUAUAGUCAUUUAUGUGUGUGUAUGUAUCUGUGUAUGUAUAUAUUUUAUAAACCAGCAGUAUGCAUAAUAGAAAUUAUAGAUGAUUGUGAAAGCCUAUACAUCUGUAUUUUGAGGAGGAAUGGCAUUUGUCAUCUGUUGGAUAAAGUAAUAUUUGUAAUUUAGAUCCAUUUGUCUAUAGCAGUCAGGGAGGGACAUACGAUGACCUCAUCCAAGGAGAGGCCUCUAAUAUUUUCCAUAGGAAUUGAUCUCAAAAUCAUUGCAACUGUAUAGGAGGAGCCGGCACCCUCCUCCGAUUGCGCUUUAGGCCAGACAGACGGCGUGUACUCCCCCAUCCACUGCGCUGCACACCAAGUCUCUCUGCUCUGGGGGGAGUGUGUGCGUCACUCCAUACCCGCCUCCCCUCCAGUGUCUCAGUCAGAGUCUGUUCCUGGCUCCACUGUCGUUUCUGUAACUACUGGCCUGUCAGCAACCUUUGCACAUCAUUUACUGUUUUCCAGUUUGUGAAAACUGCAGCAUCAGUUGUAAAAACAUUUUUGAACACUUCCAAAAGUAACUUCUUCAAA